RNAcentral lists this ribosomal RNA (460 nucleotides) under uncultured bacterium. RNAcentral's name for it is "partial 16S ribosomal RNA". It matches the Rfam family "Bacterial small subunit ribosomal RNA", at positions 338 to 795 of the family's 1533-position model. The record is from RNAcentral.
CCUACGGGUGGCAGCAGUGAGGAAUAUUGGUCAAUGGCCGUAAGGCUGAACCAGCCAAGUAGCGUGAGGGCAGACUGCCCUAUGGGUUGUACACCUCUUUUAUAAGGGAAUAAAGUGCGGGACGUGUCCCGUUUUGUAUGUACCUUAUGAAUAAGGAUCGGCUAACUCCGUGCCAGCAGCCGCGGUAAUACGGAGGAUCCGAGCGUUCUCCGGAUUUAUUGGGUUUAAAGGGUGUGUAGGCGGCCUUUUAAGUCAGCGGUGAACGUCUGUGGCUCAACCAUAGAAUUGCCGUUGAAACUGGGAGGCUUGAGUAUGUUUGAGGCAGGCGGAAUGCGUGGUGUAGCGGUGAAAUGCUUAGAUAUCACGCAGAACCCCGAUUGCGAAGGCAGCAUACCGGCGCCCUACUGACGCUGAGGAACGAAAGUGCGGGUAUCGAACAGGAUUAGAUACCCUGGUAGUC